Long non-coding RNA from Felis catus (domestic cat), 1087 nucleotides. RefSeq lists it as uncharacterized. Lineage: Eukaryota; Metazoa; Chordata; Mammalia; Carnivora; Felidae. The transcript has 2 exons. The record is from RefSeq and is a predicted model, not a curated record.
GUGGUUCAAGAUGAAGCUGUGCUUGCUUUUUCUUUUCUAGAGAGAAAAGGGAACAUCUGCAUCUGACCACCAAAAAACAUGGCUGGAGUCUUCACAUUGGGAGAAUUUGCCGGAAUGUCUUUGUGGAAGAGAUUCAACAUUUCCAAAGAGGGUCCCCCAUCCGUCAUCUGCUCUCUUUUCAUCCCCAGAUAAAAAGAGCUCAUUUUCUUUUUAAUGACAUCACCUCGCUCAUCCGGACCACAGGGAUGGCCUCCUGAACGCCUCCUGCUUCCGCGCCCCUCUCUCCUCCCUAGCGCAGUCUACGAGCAUCUGGAGGGAUAUUUUAUAAACCUAGGUAAGAUCACAUCACUGCCGCACUGAAAAUUUGUCAAUACCUUUGCGGCCCGCUCUUGCCCUCACUCACCUCACUUUUUCCGGACCCCAUUCCCACCUCCGCCCUCCUCAUUGAUAUCCCCAUGCCUGGAAUGAUCUUCCCCUCAUGUCUGCACUCGCUGGGUUGUUUAGUCUGGGUUAUCCAGGGCUGAGCACGGUUCCCAGCGCAGUGGAAAACCAGAGAGGGCGCUUCGCGAUGGGGCAGCUGCAGAGUCACCUUGCAAAGGGUGAGAAUACCAAGAGGAACGAGGGACAGUGGCCCUUGGCGGACCCCCCCCAUGGGGUGGACAAUGGUGGAAACCAGGGCGAUCCAAGAAAGUGGGGCUCAUGAUCUCCCCAGAAGCAGAAGGACCUUCCGAGUCCUGAAUUCGUUCCGGACUGGCCAUCUGUGCCUCCUGGGUCCCCACGAGAGAAGGUUGGACUGUUGCUCCUGAACAAGAAGCUCCUGGCCCGUGGGGAAGAUUCUGUCCGUGUCGUGUCCCCGUUCGAGGUCACUGGAGGGGUCUGAUCAGCGAAGGCUUGUAUCACCAUCCCUUGUACGUGUCAUGUGACCCUUUGUCCUCCUGUCCUGAGCUUGCUGUCCGGGUCUCUCGGCCUCCCGUCUCGGGGCAGCGAUUGACGGCUGGAGGAGGAAGUCCAGAUUCCUGCUGAGUGUCGGAGGAAGGCAACCCGAGAUCCGGAAUGAGUCACAAAAUAAAAAUAUCUGCACGGGCAA